This 854-nucleotide ribosomal RNA is filed under the name uncultured bacterium. Its description in RNAcentral is "bacterial SSU rRNA". It matches the Rfam family "Bacterial small subunit ribosomal RNA", at positions 28 to 897 of the family's 1533-position model. The record is from RNAcentral.
GGUUAACGCUGGCGGCGUGCCUAACACAUGCAAGUCGAACGGUUCUAAGCGCGAGCUUAGGAUAGUGGCGAACGGGUGAGUAAAAGGUAGGAAUCUACCCCUUGGACGGAGAUAGCUACUGGAAACGGUAGGUAAACUUCGAUAAGCCCGAGAGGGGAAAGUGGUGAGACAGCCGAGGGAUGAGCCUACUCUCCAUCAGGUAGUUGGUGAGAUAAAAGCUUACCAAGCCGAUGACGGAUAACCGGUGUGAGAGCAUGAACGGUCACAAGGGCACUGAGAGACGGGCCCUACUCCUACGGGAGGCAGCAGUGGGGAAUCUUGGACAAUGGGCGAAAGCCUGAUCCAGCGACGCCGCGUGGAGGAAGAAGUCCUUCGGGAUGUAAACUUCUGAACUAGCCGAAUAAAAGGCCUGUGGACACACAGGAGAAGAAAGUAGGCUAGGAAAAGUCCCGGCUAACUACGUGCCAGCAGCCGCGGUAAGACGUAGGGGGCAAGCGUUACCCGGAAUUACUGGGCGUAAAGGGGGCGUAGGCGGUAAAAGAAGUCAUCUGUGAAAACCUAUUGCUCAACGAUAGGCUAGCGGAUGAAACUGAAUUACUUGAGGGCACCAGAGGUAGACGGAAUUACCCGAGUAGGGGUGAAAUCCGCAGAUACGGGUAGGAACGCCGGUGGAGAAGUCGGUCUACUGGGGUGCACCAGACGCUGAGGCCCGAAAGCUAGGGGAGCAAACCGGAUUAGAUACCCGGGUAGUCCUAGCCGUAAACGAUGCUCACUAGGUGUAGGGAGUGAUAAACUCUCUGUGCUGAAGCGAACGCGCUAAGUGAGCCGCCUGGGGAGUACGUCCGCAAGGAUGA